AUCCUUGGAGAGACUCUUUAUAAUGAGCACCGAAGGAGAAAGCUGUAUAGCGAAACUCUCAGGUAAAAGGACAGGGUAG
This 79-nucleotide non-coding RNA is filed under the name Clostridium neonatale. RNAcentral's name for it is "Glycine riboswitch". It matches the Rfam family "Glycine riboswitch aptamer", at positions 9 to 86 of the family's 94-position model. From Rfam's summary of the family: This family represents the bacterial glycine riboswitch. Glycine riboswitches usually consist of two metabolite-binding aptamers domains with similar structures in tandem. The record is from RNAcentral. Lineage: Bacteria; Bacillati; Bacillota; Clostridia; Eubacteriales; Clostridiaceae.